This 532-nucleotide long non-coding RNA is filed under the name Junco hyemalis (dark-eyed junco). RNAcentral describes it as "lncRNA (ENSJHYG00000012856.1)". Lineage: Eukaryota; Metazoa; Chordata; Aves; Passeriformes; Passerellidae. The record is from RNAcentral.
AUCCAGAGGGAACAUUUUGGGAUCAUUUCCUGUGUUUUGGGUAAAAUAGAAGCCCUGGUUAAAUGAAGAGAGAAAUGUAGCCACCAUUUCUGACUCAAGAGGAGGAAACAGGUUUGUCUUCAGUUUAACAGCCCAAGAUAUUCCUGUGUCAAGUUUGCAGUGCUGAUCAAUGGGAGAUUCAUGCUCAUCCAUUAAAGUGAAGUCUAAUCUCCAGCUCUUUCCCUGACAAUGCCUGAGGCCCUAUUUUCUGCUGCUGCUUUUCUGCAGACUCUCAACAUCACCUGGAGCCUGCUGAGAGUGCCACCAAAUGAAGGAGCAGCAAGAACCCACUGGUGGAAGAGCUGAGGUCUAAGCUUGCUGUUUGAGAGAGAGAACUUCAUCUGAGAAACAAAGACACCAAGGCACAGAUUGACAAAACAAGACAGUACACAGAAAAGCUUGGUAAAAGAAAAGUCAUCACAGGUAACAGUGAAGAACAGAACUUACAUCUGUCUAUCUACAUUGUCACAGUUUAACUCAGGUCCACAAUUAA